CUUUCAGGUAGGGAACAAGGCAUCAUUUUUGUGGUGUUGAGGGUACUUGCAGAAGAAGCACCGGCUAACUACGUGCCAGCAGCCGCGGUAAUACGUAGGGUGCAAGCGUUAUCCGGAAUUAUUGGGCGUAAAGAGCUCGUAGGCGGUUUGUCGCGUCUGUCGUGAAAGUCCGGGGCUCAACUCCGGAUCUGCGGUGGGUACGGGCAGACUAGAGUGAUGUAGGGAGACUGGAAUUCCUGGUGUAGCGGUGGAAUGCGCAGAUAUCAGGAGGAACACCGAUGGCGAAGGCAGGUCUCUGGGCAUUAACUGACGCUGAGGAGCGAAAGCAUGGGGACGCGAACAGGAUUACGACUACCCGUGGUAG
Molecule: ribosomal RNA, 364 nt
Filed under: uncultured bacterium
Lineage: Bacteria
Description: bacterial SSU rRNA
Rfam family: Bacterial small subunit ribosomal RNA
Source: RNAcentral